GUUGAAAUGUAAGCAGACAAUGUGAGCGCAUUAUAAUUUACGGCUUUAAGAUCGUUAAGGUCCGUGUUGUAUUUUUAGCUUUUUGGUUGUUUUACAUGUAAAUUAUAGUGUGACUUAUUAUUGGUAGAAUCUUAAGAGAUAUUCUCAGUAAAUAUUAUUGGGUUCAAACGGAAGUUAUAACCAGGAAACCAUAAAGAGGUGGAAAAUAGCGUGCCAGCAGCCGCGGUUAUACGCGUGCCUUAAGUUAAAACUGUUUUACAAGGUUAGUUCUUUGGUAAUUUUUUUUGACUUUAUAUUUAUUAUUAAGUAGAAUUUUAAUAAAUAGGAACAAUAAAGUUACUCAGGUUUAUAAAGUAAAGUAUCUGGACCAGGAUUAGAUACCCUGUUACUUUUUACUAGGUUUCCUUGGAGUAUUAAUGUUAAUGAAAUUUAACGGAUUUGGCGGCAAGAUAGCCCGUUUAGAGGAACCUGCCCUGUGAACGAUGAGCCACGAACAACUUUACUUUUUUUGGUAAUCAGUUUGUAUACCGCUGUUGUCAGUCAGUCUCGCUAGGGAACUUUCGAUAAUGGAAAGGUCAUUGACUUCAAGUAAAGGUGCAGCUUAUAAAAAAGAGAGAGGUGGGUUACAAUUUAAAUGAUAAAUGACGGAUAACAAGAUGAAAAAUUGUUUGAAGGUGGAUUUAAUUGUAAAACUUUGGAAAGUUUGAUACGAGCACUAACUUGUGUACAUACCGCCCGUCGCUCUCCUUAGUAAAUGAGAUAAGUCGUAACAAGGUAAGUGUAAUGGAAAUUGUACUUGUU
This 801-nucleotide non-coding RNA is filed under the name Octomeris sp. BKKC-2014. The record is from RNAcentral. Lineage: Eukaryota; Metazoa; Arthropoda; Thecostraca; Balanomorpha; Chthamalidae.